RNAcentral lists this transfer RNA (69 nucleotides) under Acontias aurantiacus aurantiacus. RNAcentral describes it as "tRNA-Glu". The record is from RNAcentral. Lineage: Eukaryota; Metazoa; Chordata; Lepidosauria; Squamata; Scincidae.
UUGUUUUUAUAGUUGAAAUACAACGGUGACUUUUCGUGUCACAGGUCUCGGGUAAGUGUCCGGGUAAAA